GAUGAACGCUGGCGGCGUGCCUAAUACAUGCAAGUCGAGCGAACAGAUAAGGAGCUUGCUCCUUUGAAGUUAGCGGCGGACGGGUGAGUAACACGUGGGUAACCUACCUAUAAGACUGGGAUAACUUCGGGAAACCGGAGCUAAUACCGGAUAAUAUUUAGAACCGCAUGGUUCUAAAGUGAAAGAUGGUUUUGCUAUCACUUAUAGAUGGACCCGCGCCGUAUUAGCUAGUUGGUAAGGUAACGGCUUACCAAGGCGACGAUACGUAGCCGACCUGAGAGGGUGAUCGGCCACACUGGAACUGAGACACGGUCCAGACUCCUACGGGAGGCAGCAGUAGGGAAUCUUCCGCAAUGGGCGAAAGCCUGACGGAGCAACGCCGCGUGAGUGAUGAAGGGUUUCGGCUCGUAAAACUCUGUUAUUAGGGAAGAACAAAUGUGUAAGUAACUGUGCACAUCUUGACGGUACCUAAUCAGAAAGCCACGGCUAACUACGUGCCAGCAGCCGCGGUAAUACGUAGGUGGCAAGCGUUAUCCGGAAUUAUUGGGCGUAAAGCGCGCGUAGGCGGUUUCUUAAGUCUGAUGUGAAAGCCCACGGCUCAACCGUGGAGGGUCAUUGGAAACUGGAAACUUGAGUGCAGAAGAGGAAAGUGGAAUUCCAUGUGUAGCGGUGAAAUGCGCAGAGAUAUGGAGGAACACCAGUGGCGAAGGCGACUUUCUGGUCUGUAACUGACGCUGAUGUGCGAAAGCGUGGGGAUCAAACAGGAUUAGAUACCCUGGUAGUCCACGCCGUAAACGAUGAGUGCUAAGUGUUAGGGGGUUUCCGCCCCUUAGUGCUGCAGCUAACGCAUUAAGCACUCCGCCUGGGGAGUACGACCGCAAGGUUGAAACUCAAAGGAAUUGACGGGGACCCGCACAAGCGGUGGAGCAUGUGGUUUAAUUCGAAGCAACGCGAAGAACCUUACCAAAUCUUGACAUCCUUUGAAAACUCUAGAGAUAGAGCCUUCCCCUUCGGGGGACAAAGUGACAGGUGGUGCAUGGUUGUCGUCAGCUCGUGUCGUGAGAUGUUGGGUUAAGUCCCGCAACGAGCGCAACCCUUAAGCUUAGUUGCCAUCAUUAAGUUGGGCACUCUAGGUUGACUGCCGGUGACAAACCGGAGGAAGGUGGGGAUGACGUCAAAUCAUCAUGCCCCUUAUGAUUUGGGCUACACACGUGCUACAAUGGACAAUACAAAGGGCAGCUAAACCGCGAGGUCAUGCAAAUCCCAUAAAGUUGUUCUCAGUUCGGAUUGUAGUCUGCAACUCGACUACAUGAAGCUGGAAUCGCUAGUAAUCGUAGAUCAGCAUGCUACGGUGAAUACGUUCCCGGGUCU
RNAcentral lists this ribosomal RNA (1371 nucleotides) under uncultured bacterium. RNAcentral's name for it is "bacterial SSU rRNA". It matches the Rfam family "Bacterial small subunit ribosomal RNA", at positions 28 to 1381 of the family's 1533-position model. The record is from RNAcentral.